This 872-nucleotide ribosomal RNA is filed under the name uncultured Ascomycota. Its description in RNAcentral is "eukaryotic LSU rRNA". The stretch from base 490 to 643 matches the Rfam family "5.8S ribosomal RNA". The record is from RNAcentral. Lineage: Eukaryota; Fungi; Ascomycota.
CUUGGUCAUUUAGAGGAAGUAAAAGUCGUAACAAGGUUCCACUUGUGGCUUAAAGCUCGGUAAGUUGCCUUCUUUAACCUAUGAAGCCUUGAAGCACCAGUCUGGCAGCCAUAGCUGCUGGGCAACACUUGCCUGUUGCUGGCGUCCCAUCAGGGUACCAGCAGUCGUUUUAAAAUGCGAUUCACAGAUCAAACGCAAGUGGUACUCUCAACUCUUACGAAACGAGUAUUUUGAUAUGAUCGGUCCUUCUUUUAACUAAGAUGGAUUUUACGUUCCGUAGGUGAACCUGCGGAAGGAUCAUUAACGAGUUAGGGUCGUUCUGGCCCAGACUUCCAACCCUUUGCUUACCACACUAUGUUGCUUUGGCGGGUCCGCCCUUAAAAUUUAGGGCCGCCGGAGGUUUUUUGGCCUCUGGUCCGUACCCGCCAGUAGCCUUUAUUAAAUUCUUUUAAACUGUGUCGUCUGAGUGGCAUUUUAAAAUCGUUUUAAAACUUUCAACAACGGAUCUCUCGGUUCUGGCAUCGAUGAAGAACGCAGCGAAAUGCGAUAAGUAAUGCGAAUUGCAGAAUUCAGUGAGUCAUCGAAUCUUUGAACGCAUAUUGCGCCCUUUGGUAUUCCGAAGGGCAUGCCUGUUCGAGCGUCAUUAUCAACCAUCAAGCUUGGCUUGUUGUUGGACCCCUUUUGGUCGGGAUUGGCUCCCGACCGGUCCGAAAGAUAAUGAACGGCUGUUUAAUGGCCUUUUGAUGCAACGAGCUUUUUGUAAAGCACGCAUCGAAUGGUGGUUAGGGCCUGUUCGCCUUUUUUUUUCUAACGGUUGACCUCGGAUCAGGUAGGAAUACCCGCUGAACUUAAGCAUAUCAAUAAGCGGAGGA